Myodes glareolus (Bank vole) is the source of this 452-nucleotide long non-coding RNA. RefSeq lists it as uncharacterized. NCBI's taxonomy places the organism in Eukaryota, Metazoa, Chordata, Mammalia, Rodentia, Cricetidae. The record is from RefSeq and is a predicted model, not a curated record.
AGUCAGUCUGCAGUUGUGACCCAGCCGUAGAGGAAGCAAUAUGAGAACACCUCACGGAUAAAGAUCUGACUUAUUCUCCCAUAAGAAGUCAAUCUCAUCUUUGAGAUCACGCCCAGCUCGUUAAAGUUCAGGAACUAUCACCCACAGAGGACAGAAGACUGCUACCAGCGUAAACUUUGUCUCCAGGCAGUGACUGUCAUAAGGGCAAACGCCAACAGUGUUUUCCCAGACUUUUUGUCUCCUUUUGCUCUGCUGCCAUCGAGAAGAGCGUUGAGAGCAGGUAACAGCUGCUCCUGGCUCACAUGGCUAAAAACAGACGUGAAGAGCAGGCGACUCCCAGACGCCUCUGCCUUGGGUGAAGGCCAGUGUGUGUCUAGUAUGACCACUAUCAGGGCUGACUUCUCCUCCAGGCACAGGAAACUCAGCACUUAGACACCACUCUGCUUUUGAGA